UACGAAGGGUGCAAACGUUGCUCGGAAUCAUUGGGCGUAAAGCGCACGUAGGCGGCCCUGCAAGUCGGAUGUGAAAUCCCUCGGCUCAACCGAGGACGUGCAUUCGAAACUGCUUGGCUCGAGUAUGGAAGAGGGUCGCGGAAUUCCCGGUGUAGAGGUGAAAUUCGUAGAUAUCGGGAGGAACACCAGUGGCGAAGGCGGCGACCUGGACGGACACUGACGCUGAGACGCGAAAGCGUGGGGAGCAAACAGG
RNAcentral lists this ribosomal RNA (253 nucleotides) under uncultured bacterium. Its description in RNAcentral is "partial 16S ribosomal RNA". It matches the Rfam family "Bacterial small subunit ribosomal RNA", at positions 524 to 776 of the family's 1533-position model. The record is from RNAcentral.